Molecule: ribosomal RNA, 439 nt
Filed under: uncultured bacterium
Lineage: Bacteria
Description: partial 16S ribosomal RNA
Rfam family: Bacterial small subunit ribosomal RNA
Source: RNAcentral
CUACGGGCGGCUGCAGUGAGGAAUAUUGCACAAUGGAGGAAACUCUGAUGCAGCAACGCCGCGUGGAGGAUGACGCAUUUCGGUGUGUAAACUCCUUUUAUAUAUCAAGAAAAUGACGGUAGCAUAUGAAUAAGCUCCGGCUAACUCCGUGCCAGCAGCCGCGGUAAUACGGAGGGAGCAAGCGUUACUCGGAAUCACUGGGCGUAAAGGACGCGUAGGCGGGAUAGAAAGUCAGGUGUGAAAUCCUAUGGCUCAACCAUAGAACUGCACUUGAAACUUCUAACCUAGAGUAUGGGAGGGGAAGAUGGAAUUAGUGGUGUAGGGGCAAAAUCCGUAGAUAUCACUAGGAAUACCAAAAGCGAAGGCGAUCUUCUGGAACAAUACUGACGCUAAGGCGUGAAAGCGUGGGGAGCAAACAGGAUUAGAUACCCCGGUAGUC